Molecule: long non-coding RNA, 1030 nt
Filed under: Anas platyrhynchos platyrhynchos (common mallard)
Lineage: Eukaryota; Metazoa; Chordata; Aves; Anseriformes; Anatidae
Description: lncRNA (ENSAPLG00000024583.1)
Source: RNAcentral
UGUUGAGUGCUUGUUUACUUUAGUAGAGCAGGCUGUAAGCUAUGGUUCCUCUAGGGCUGUUUUACACAAAGUUCAGCUUUCCCAGCCAUAGAAACAACUACUAGGACAGGACAAAGAGCAGAAUUAAGUUAUUGCCCAUUUUAGUUCCACCCAAAUUCUUGAGAGGGAUCAGACAAUAAGGCAGCAAAGUUCAAGACAAAUCCUUUAGCAACAGUAGAAGUCCUGCUAAGGAUAUCCUGUGUUUGAAAGAUAAUUCCAGUUAAAAUGUUUCAAACCAUUCAUAUAUUUAUAAAUUAAUGCUAUAAUAAUGAAAAUAGUUACUCUUUUUUUUUUUUUCCCCACUUACCAUAUGUUUUACAGACAUAACUUUAUAUUAGUCAUUUAGUAUAGAGGCAUCUAAACAGUAAGUGAAACAGCUACCUUAUUUUACAGAUUUCUUUGUUUUCUAAGUGGCAUUAUGAAAUUAAAAAAAAAAUAAGUAAGAAAGAAAGAAAGAAAAAAGCAACACCCAACAACGCACCUUUAAUAGAUAGCUUAUUAGCUUCAUCUGCUUGAUAAGACGAAAAAGGACAGGUGAGAGAAAUGAGUUCAGCUGUGCCUUGUUUGGAAAAGAAGGGAUUGGAUGUUGCAGCCUUCAUUGAGAAGAGGUGGCUUCUUAAGACAAAUGUUUGGUUAUUAUAAAAAGGUAGUGUUGCUUACUGAAGGAAGGUUGGAGAUUUUGUUGGGUUUUAAUUGCAUCAUUUUUUUAUUUUUUUUCUUUGUAUGGGUGCUAAAGAGCUCCCCAGGGAAGCAGAUUCCCCGAGUCCCUAUUCAGAGAAGAAAGCACAGCGAUUACUUACGGACUUCAUUUGUAUAUGUAAAGAUGGCUCAUCUCGCUAAGAAUCACUGUGAUCAAGCCAUCUCUGCUGGGACUUCUUACACUGUGAUAAACAACAGGCAUCACUCCUUACUGUUUAUAAGUGCAGUCCUUAUUCCCAUGUGCAAAAAUGGUGCUAUGGAAGAAGUGCAUCUUAGUCUUAUUUACUGGUGA